RNAcentral lists this ribosomal RNA (123 nucleotides) under Castor canadensis (American beaver). The record is from RNAcentral. Lineage: Eukaryota; Metazoa; Chordata; Mammalia; Rodentia; Castoridae.
CUCUACUGCCAUGCGAACCUGAAUGCUCCCAAUCUCAUCUGAUCUUGAAGGCUAAGCAGGCUUAGGCCUGGUUAGUACUUGGAUGGAAAAAAAUUGGUAUAUAUACCGAUGGUAAAGUAGAGC